GACGUAGGGCGCGAGCGUUGUCCGGAUUUAUUGGGCGUAAAGAGCUCGUAGGCGGCUCGUUGCGUCGGCUGUGAAAACCCGCAGCUCAACUGUGGGCUGCAGCCUGAUACGGGCGGGCUGAGGUUCGGUAGGGGAGACUGGAAUUCCUGGUGUAGCGGUGAAAUGCGCAGAUAUCAGGAGGAACACCGGUGGCGAAGGCGGGUCUCUGGGCCGAUACUGACGCUGAGGAGCGAAAGCGUGGGGAGCGAACAGG
Molecule: ribosomal RNA, 253 nt
Filed under: uncultured bacterium
Lineage: Bacteria
Description: partial 16S ribosomal RNA
Rfam family: Bacterial small subunit ribosomal RNA
Source: RNAcentral